GCUCUGGGGGGUGGGAGUGCCCUAUGGGGUGCCCUAUGGGGGCUCUGGGGGGUGGGGAUGCCCUAUAGGGUGCCCUAUGGGGGCUCUGGGGGGUGGCAUUGCUCUAUGGGGUGCUCUAUGGGGUGCCCUAUGGGGGCUCUGGGGGGUGGCAGUGCUCUUUGGGGUGCCCUAUGGGGUGCCCUAUGGGGGCUCUGGGGGGUGGGGGCGCCCUAUAGGGUGCUCUAUGGGGUGCCCUAUGGGGACUCGGGGGUGGGGUGCCCUAUAGGGGGCUCUGGGGGGUGGCAAUGCUCUUUGGGGUGUGCUAUGGGGUGCCCUAUGGGGGCUCCGGGGGGUGGGGUGCCCUAUAGGGUGCCCUAUGGGGGCUCUGGGGGGUGGGGGUGCUCUAUGGGGUGCCCUAUGGGGUGCCUUAUGGGGGCUCUGGGGGGUGGGGGUGCUCUAUGGGGCGCCCUAUGGGGGCUCUGUGGGGUGGGGGUGUGCUAUGG
This 482-nucleotide long non-coding RNA is filed under the name Gallus gallus (chicken). RNAcentral describes it as "lncRNA (ENSGALG00010009782.1)". Lineage: Eukaryota; Metazoa; Chordata; Aves; Galliformes; Phasianidae. The record is from RNAcentral.